GGNUGNGGAGUGCUAUACUGCAGUCGAGCGAUCGACGGGAGCUUGCUCCCUGAGAUUAGCGGCGGACGGGUGAGUAACACGUGGGCAACCUGCCUAUAAGACUGGGAUAACUUCGGGAAACCGGAGCUAAUACCGGAUACGUUCUUUUCUCGCAUGAGAGAAGAUGGAAAGACGGUUUACGCUGUCACUUAUAGAUGGGCCCGCGGCGCAUUAGCUAGUUGGUGAGGUAAUGGCUCACCAAGGCGACGAUGCGUAGCCGACCUGAGAGGGUGAUCGGCCACACUGGGACUGAGACACGGCCCAGACUCCUACGGGAGGCAGCAGUAGGGAAUCUUCCGCAAUGGACGAAAGUCUGACGGAGCAACGCCGCGUGAACGAAGAAGGCCUUCGGGUCGUAAAGUUCUGUUGUUAGGGAAGAACAAGUACCAGAGUAACUGCUGGUACCUUGACGGUACCUAACCAGAAAGCCACGGCUAACUACGUGCCAGCAGCCGCGGUAAUACGUAGGUGGCAAGCGUUGUCCGGAAUUAUUGGGCGUAAAGCGCGCGCAGGUGGUUCCUUAAGUCUGAUGUGAAAGCCCACGGCUCAACCGUGGAGGGUCAUUGGAAACUGGGGAACUUGAGUGCAGAAGAGGAAAGUGGAAUUCCAAGUGUAGCGGUGAAAUGCGUAGAGAUUUGGAGGAACACCAGUGGCGAAGGCGACUUUCUGGUCUGUAACUGACACUGAGGCGCGAAAGCGUGGGGGAGCAAACAGGAUUAGAUACCCUGGUAGUCCACGCCGUAAACGAUGAGUGCUAAGUGUUAGAGGGUUUCCGCCCUUUAGUGCUGCAGCUAGCGCAUUAAGCACUCCGCCUGGGGAGUACGGCGGCAAGGCUGAUACUCAAAGUAAUGAGGGCGGGCCGCACGACCGAGGAGCAUGUGAGUUCAUUCUAAGCAACGAAACUAACCAUACCUGUCUUCACUUCUUCGCUCAAUCUUAGAGAUACUGCUUUCUCUUCACCGAAUGGAGGGACAGGUGUGCAGGGCUCC
This 1028-nucleotide ribosomal RNA is filed under the name Gammaproteobacteria bacterium. RNAcentral describes it as "bacterial SSU rRNA". It matches the Rfam family "Bacterial small subunit ribosomal RNA", at positions 35 to 1052 of the family's 1533-position model. Lineage: Bacteria; Pseudomonadati; Pseudomonadota; Gammaproteobacteria. The record is from RNAcentral.